RNAcentral lists this long non-coding RNA (825 nucleotides) under Heterocephalus glaber (naked mole-rat). RNAcentral's name for it is "lncRNA (ENSHGLG00100032963.1)". Lineage: Eukaryota; Metazoa; Chordata; Mammalia; Rodentia; Bathyergidae. The record is from RNAcentral.
CCCACAGCUGGCCAGCUCGCAGGGGAAGAGCAAGGUUCAAAGCCAGGCAGGGUGGUCUGCCUUCCCCAGGGACUUGGCCCUGCAAAGGUCCUGGGGCUGAGCUAAUGGAGGGGGGCAGCACUCACCCAGGCCCCACCCAGCCUCUGUGAGCACCAAGGUGGGUGCCGGCCACUGGAAGUGCCGUUAUAGUCAUCAUGAUUGGGGUCAUCAUCACUACAGCCAGGAAGAGGCCCCCACCAGACCAAACCACACAGCCACCCUGGACCCCAGCUCCCAGAAGCACGGGGAAACAAACAUCCGUUGCCUAAACCCCAGGCUGACAUCUUGUCACAGUAGCCAGAGUGGACUCAGGUCCACAGCGGAGUCGAGGAAGGCUUCCUGCAGAGCCAAUGUGGCCAUCCUUGGGGGAGCCAGGCCGGGCCAACCCCUCUCCCACCACACAGCAGCCUGGCUGCAAAUGCGGGAAGCUUCUUGGGGACUUCAUGGCUCCACUGCAGGCACAGAGGCCAGCCUGGAUGAGAGACCAGGCACCCUCCGCAGUCCAGCCAGGGCCCUGGAGCAGGGCAAAGAGGCAGAAAGAUCACGGGUACUGAGCCCCAGAUUUCCGCUGCCCCUGCUGCCCUGGCAGAGGAAACAGAGAACAAGGCCCCCACCCACCCAGCUCCCACCCUGGGGGCAGCUUGGAAGUGGGGAUCUCGGCCAGGCUCUGAAUGACAGAAACCAUCAGGACAUGGAAAAACAAGACCUAUAAAGAAAUACACAUUUUAUACAUCAGUUUAAUUAAAGUACAUUAAAAUGAGUUUGCUUAAAUAAAAAAAAAAAUUA